Molecule: ribosomal RNA, 426 nt
Filed under: uncultured bacterium
Lineage: Bacteria
Description: bacterial SSU rRNA
Rfam family: Bacterial small subunit ribosomal RNA
Source: RNAcentral
GGGGAAUCUUGCGCAAUGGACGAAAGUCUGACGCAGCCAUGCCGCGUGAGUGAUGAAGGCCCUCGGGUCGUAAAGCUCUGUCCAAGGGGACGAAAAAGGUGUUGGUGAACAUCCAGCAUUUCUGACGGUACCCUUGAAGAAAGCACCGGCUAACUCCGUGCCAGCAGCCGCGGUAAUACGGAGGGUGCAAGCGUUGUUCGGAAUUACUGGGCGUAAAGCGCGCGCAGGCGGCAUUAUAAGUCGGGUGUGAAAUCCCUGGGCUUAACCCAGGACGUGCGCCUGAUACUGUGAUGCUAGAAUCUGGGAGAGGGAUGUGGAAUUCCUGGUGUAGAGGUGAAAUUCGUAGAGAUCAGGAGGAACACUCGUGGCGAAGGCGACAUCCUGGACCAAGAUUGACGCUGAGGCGCGAAAGCGUGGGGAGCAAAC